AUUGAACGCUGGCGGCAGGCCUAACACAUGCAAGUCGAGCGGAUGAAGGGAGCUUGCUCCUGGAUUCAGCGGCGGACGGGUGAGUAAUGCCUAGGAAUCUGCCUGGUAGUGGGGGAUAACGUCCGGAAACGGGCGCUAAUACCGCAUCCGUCCUGAGGGAGAAAGGGGGGGAUCUUCGGACCUCACGCUAUCAGAUGAGCCUAGGUCGCAUUAGCUAGUUGGUGGGGUAAAGGCCUACCAAGGCGACGAUCCGUAACUGGUCUGAGAGGAUGAUCAGUCACACUGGAACUGAGACACGGUCCAGACUCCUACGGGAGGCAGCAGUGGGGAAUAUUGGACAAUGGGCGAAAGCCUGAUCCAGCCAUGCCGCGUGUGUGAAGAAGGUCUUCGGAUUGUAAAGCACUUUAAGUUGGGAGGAAGGGCAGUAAGUUAAUACCUUGCUGUUUUGACGUUACCAACAGAAUAAGCACCGGCUAACUUCGUG
This 484-nucleotide ribosomal RNA is filed under the name uncultured bacterium. RNAcentral describes it as "partial 16S ribosomal RNA". It matches the Rfam family "Bacterial small subunit ribosomal RNA", at positions 30 to 507 of the family's 1533-position model. The record is from RNAcentral.